GAUGAACGCUGGCGGCGUGCCUAAUACAUGCAAGUCGAGCGAACAGAUGAGGAGCUUGCUCCUCUGACGUUAGCGGCGGACGGGUGAGUAACACGUGGAUAACCUACCUAUAAGACUGGGAUAACUUCGGGAAACCGGAGCUAAUACCGGAUAAUAUAUUGAACCGCGUGGUUCAAUAGUGAAAGGCGGUUUUGCUGUCACUUAUAGAUGGAUCCGCGCCGCAUUAGCUAGUUGGUAAGGUAACGGCUUACCAAGGCAACGAUGCGUAGCCGACCUGAGAGGGUGAUCGGCCUCACUGGAACUGAGACACGGUCCAGACUCCUACGGGAGGCAGCAGUAGGGAAUCGUCCGCAAUGGGCGAAAGCCUGACGGAGCAACGCCGCGUGAGUGAUGAAGGUCUUCGGAUCGUAAAACUCUGUUAUUAGGGAAGAACAAAUGUGUAAGUAACUAUGCACGUCUUGACGGUACCUAAUCAGAAAGCCACGGCUAACUACGUG
This 497-nucleotide ribosomal RNA is filed under the name uncultured bacterium. Its description in RNAcentral is "partial 16S ribosomal RNA". It matches the Rfam family "Bacterial small subunit ribosomal RNA", at positions 28 to 507 of the family's 1533-position model. The record is from RNAcentral.